UCGAGUUUUUUGAAAUCAGCAAGCUUUGAGUUUUCGACCAAACAAAUUAAAAAGAAAAUUUAGAGUUUGUUAAUUGUUUUUUUCAAUUUUAUUUACUCAAAAGAAAAAUGGCAAACUGUGGCUGUGGCUCUGCCUGCAAUUGCAAUCCCAACAACUGCUCAUGCAAUCAUAAUGUUGCUCCCAUGAAAGAGAACUUUGAAGGUGGUUGCGGCUGCAACAAAUGCUCAUGUGGAGACAAUUGCAACUGUAAUCCAUGCAAUUGCUAAAGUUAAGAGCUUUCAAUAUGGAAAGCAUACUAAUUUACAUAUUAAUGUUGCCUAUGAUUUGAAAUAUAUGUAUCAGUGGUUCUGUGUGUGUAUGUUGUUUGUCUGUAAGGUGUUUGACAAAAUGCCGCUUACAAAUACUUGAGAAAUAAAAGACCACACAGCAACCUAUUAUAUAAUGUAUCUUUCCUUUUUCCCUCCUUCCUAAUGUCGUUUAGGCCAGUUAUGACUGGUUGAUUUCUAUUAAUAUUUGCAUCUGUGUUUAGAUGGAUGAUUUAUCA
Molecule: long non-coding RNA, 544 nt
Organism: Benincasa hispida (wax gourd)
Lineage: Eukaryota; Viridiplantae; Streptophyta; Magnoliopsida; Cucurbitales; Cucurbitaceae
Source: RefSeq, a predicted model, not a curated record